GACAGAGGGGGCGAGCGUUGUUCGGAGUCACUGGGCGUAAAGCGCGCGCAGGCGGAAUGCUUAGUGUCGUGUGAAAGUCCCCGGCUCAACCGGGGGAGGGCAUGGCAAACUGGGUCGCUCGAGUUGCGGAGAGGCCCGUCGAAUUGCCAGUGUAGCGGUGAAAUGCGUAGAGAUCGGCAGGAAGACCAAGGGGGAAGCCAGGGGGCUGGCCCCAGGCUGACGAUGAGGCGCGACAGCGUGGGGAGCAAACCGG
RNAcentral lists this ribosomal RNA (253 nucleotides) under uncultured bacterium. Its description in RNAcentral is "partial 16S ribosomal RNA". It matches the Rfam family "Bacterial small subunit ribosomal RNA", at positions 524 to 776 of the family's 1533-position model. The record is from RNAcentral.